AGAGUUUGAUCCUGGCUCAGGAUGAACGCUAGCUACAGGCUUAACACAUGCAAGUCGAGGGGCAGCAUGGUCUUAGCUUGCUAAGGCCGAUGGCGACCGGCGCACGGGUGAGUAACGCGUAUCCAACCUGCCUUACACUCUUGGACAGCCUUCUGAAAGGGAGAUUAAUACAAGAUGUUAUCAUGAGUAAGCAUUUUCGCAUGAUUAAAGGUUUACCGGUGUAAGAUGGGGAUGCGUUCCAUUAGAUAGUAGGCGGGGUAACGGCCCACCUAGUCUUCGAUGGAUAGGGGUUCUGAGAGGAAGGUCCCCCACAUUGGAACUGAGACACGGUCCAAACUCCUACGGGAGGCAGCAGUGAGGAAUAUUGGUCAAUGGACGAGAGUCUGAACCAGCCAAGUAGCGUGAAGGAUGAAGGUUCUAUGGAUUGUAAACUUCUUUUAUACGGGAAUAAACGGAUCCACGUGUGGAUUUUUGCAUGUACCGUAUGAAUAAGGAUCGGCUAACUCCGUGCCAGCAGCCGCGGUAAUACGGAGGAUCCGAGCGUUAUCCGGAUUUAUUGGGUUUAAAGGGAGCGUAGAUGGGUUGUUAAGUCAGUUGUGAAAGUUUGCGGCUCAACCGUAAAAUUGCAAUUGAUACUGGCAGUCUUGAGUACAGUUGAGGUAGGCGGAAUUCGUGGUGUAGCGGUGAAAUGCUUAGAUAUCACGAAGAACUCCGAUUGCGAAGGCAGCUUACUAACCUGUAACUGACAUUGAUGCUCGAAAGUGUGGGUAUCAAACAGGAUUAGAUACCCUGGUAGUCCACACGGUAAACGAUGAAUACUCGCUGUAGGCGAUAUACAGUCUGCGGCCAAGCGAAAGCAUUAAGUAUUCCACCUGGGGAGUACGCCGGCAACGGUGAAACUCAAAGGAAUUGACGGGGGCCCGCACAAGCGGAGGAACAUGUGGUUUAAUUCGAUGAUACGCGAGGAACCUUACCCGGGCUUAAAUUGCAACCGAAUAUGGCGGAAACGCUAUAGCUAGCAAUAGCGGUUGUGAAGGUGCUGCAUGGUUGUCGUCAGCUCGUGCCGUGAGGUGUCGGCUUAAGUGCCAUAACGAGCGCAACCCUUGCCGAUAGUUACUAACAGGUUAUGCUGAGGACUCUGUCGGGACUGCCAUCGUAAGAUGUGAGGAAGGUGGGGAUGACGUCAAAUCAGCACGGCCCUUACGUCCGGGGCUACACACGUGUUACAAUGGGGGGUACAGAGGGCUGCUACCACGCAAGUGGAUGCCAAUCCCAAAAACCUCUCUCAGUUCGGAUUGAAGUCUGCAACCCGACUUCAUGAAGCUGGAUUCGCUAGUAAUCGCGCAUCAGCCACGGCGCGGUGAAUACGUUCCCGGGCCUUGCACACACCGCCCGUCA
RNAcentral lists this ribosomal RNA (1398 nucleotides) under uncultured bacterium. RNAcentral describes it as "16S ribosomal RNA". It matches the Rfam family "Bacterial small subunit ribosomal RNA". The record is from RNAcentral.